RNAcentral lists this transfer RNA (76 nucleotides) under Oleispira antarctica. RNAcentral describes it as "tRNA-Trp". It matches the Rfam family "tRNA". Rfam says of the family: Transfer RNA (tRNA) molecules are approximately 80 nucleotides in length. The record is from RNAcentral. RNAcentral also lists the same sequence under 1 other name. Lineage: Bacteria; Pseudomonadati; Pseudomonadota; Gammaproteobacteria; Oceanospirillales; Oceanospirillaceae.
AGGCCACUAGUUCAACUGGUAGAGCGUCGGUCUCCAAAACCGAAUGUUGGGGGUUCGAGUCCCUCGUGGCCUGCCA